Cervus elaphus (red deer) is the source of this 3204-nucleotide long non-coding RNA. RefSeq lists it as uncharacterized. NCBI's taxonomy places the organism in Eukaryota, Metazoa, Chordata, Mammalia, Artiodactyla, Cervidae. The record is from RefSeq and is a predicted model, not a curated record. The transcript is spliced from 2 exons.
UUGGGAAGAUCCCCUGGAGUAGGAAAUGACAACCCACUCUGGUAUUUUUGCCUGGGAAAUCCCAUGGACAGAAGAGCCUGGCUAGCAACAGUCCGUGGGGUCACAAGAGUCAUGCAUGACUGAGCAAUGUAGCACGCAGCAUGCAUGCAUGUGAUGGCUAUUGACUGUGCAGGAAAGGUCACUCUGAUACACUCUGAGAGUAAAAACUCUAUGGGAGAGGGGAUGGAUAGAUUGGAAGAUUGGGAUUGACUGGGAUUGACAUAUAUACACUAUAAUAUAUAAAAUAGAUAAUUAAUAAGGACCUACUGUAUGGCACGGGGAACUCUACUCAAUACUCUGUAAUGACCUAUAUGGGAAAAGAAUUUUUAAAAGAGUAGAUAUAUGUAGAUGUAUAGCAGAUUCACUUUGUUGUACACCUGAAAGUAACAAAGCAUUGUAGGUCAACUGUACACCAAUAAAAAUUUUAAAAAAUAACUCUGUAGGAAACUGUGAUAAGCAUAACAGCAAAGAAACCCUCCUAUAAGCCAGGAAGAGAAGAGAGAAGUUUGGAGGAGUAGCCGGAAGAAUCUGGGGCUUUAUUCACAGCUCCAGGCAAACCGGUUUUGAGUCACUGGGAAACACUUCUUCUGAACCACAAUGCAUCCAGCCUUGUCACCAGCAGAGUGGUGGUAAAGAAAGGUUACUCAUAAAUAGGUCAGCUGCCAACUGCAUACAGGCCAGCCUCCAGCAGUGCCCUGGGGGCUCCAAGGGAAAGUAGCCACCUCACACCACUGUGCUCAGGGACCAGCUGUGCCUGGGACCCUGAAAUCAACAUGCUACCUUGUCCAGAUGCGGUCCAAACAGGUAAGGACCCCUUGGCUCGGGCCUUCCCAAGGAGAACAGAGAGCCAGAUGGAAGUUGCUAGAUUCCAUCUGUGCUCAGCCCUGAGUGCUCCAAGGCCCCAGAGGGCGAACUGAGAUUCUAACACAAAUUCAGCCAGGCCAGGACCUUGACAGGGCUGCCUGCUCCCAUGUGGCCUGAUCUGGGCCUCCUGCUCAUCCAGGCUCCACUUCGCCCUUCCCUUUGCUGAAUGCUUCUAAGGAAAUGUAGGGGGACAUAAACUCCGAUGCUUUGCCAGCAUCAUUGUUUUCCAUUACUCUUCCUCAUCCUUUGCUUAUCAGGGCCAAAGGAACUGAAUUCUUAAUAAAUCACCUCAUAAUCUAGUCCAAUGGAAGUUUCAAAUACAGUAGGAGCCCCAGGAUACCUCUGUCACAUCCUUGCUUUUAUAAAGGAAAUGACAUGAAGACCGAAACAAGUUGUGUUUCCAGCUGAGGCUCAGAAAAGGUAAAUGGCCUGGACAAAGUCACACAGCCAGGUGGUGGCAGAAGUUGCUGCUCUGAGAGAGUGGGUGUGAAGUUUUUGCCUAUCAUCCAUUCACCCUUUUUCUAGUUGCAUCUUCCUUUGGGAAAUGCCCCUUAAUUUUAGUUCAUAUUGUGUGGGCUUUUUUUUUUUCUUUUAAUAUUUAUCUAUUUGGCUGUGCUGGCUCUUAGUUGCAGCAUGCAGAGAAUCUUUAGUUGCAGUGUGGAAAUUAUUAUUUGCGUCAUGUGAGAUCUAGUUUCCUGACCAGGGAUUGAACUCGGACCCUCAGCCUUUGGAGCCCAGAGUCUUAGCUACUGGGCCACUGGGGAGGUCCCAGUUCACAUUGUUGAGUGAGGCUAACCUGGUCCCAGAAUCUGGGGUAAACAUGUGACCCAGGCCCAAGUAGUAAUUUCACCCUCAAUGAUUGGCUUAAGGAUGGGCAUGUGACCCAAUUCAAGCCAGUAAGAAUCAGGCUUAGGAUUUUGGCUCAACAGCUGGGAGAGGGACUCUGGGGCAGCUGAGCUGAACAUAAACAGAUGUGGGGGCCGCCAAGCCUGGAGAGCCUGACUUGACUGUGGGUAAAGCCAGCACAGAGGACAGCAGAGUGGAGAGAUGGAGAGCUCCUGAGUCCUGGUGACAGUCUUUCAGCUUCUGGAUCCAGUCCUGCCUGAAGCCAUACGCCAGUAAGUGUUCCUUUUGGUUUGAGCUCAUUUGAAUUGCUCACUGCCAUUUGCAAAUGAAAAGUCUUGAACCAAGUGGACUCUAAAUCCAUGCUCUCUCCAGACUCCACACUGCCACCAGCUGAUCCAUCAAGCCUCUGAAGCACCAUCUCAGCCCUCCCCAGGAUUUCUACUUCAGCAGUAUUUUGGCUUGCCAGUUGACUCAGUGGUAAAGAAUCCACCUGCCAAUGCAGGAGACUUGGGUUUGAUCACUGGAUGGGAAAGAUCCCUUAGAGGAGGAAAUGGCAACCCACUCCAGUAUUCUUGCCUGUAGAAUUCCAUGGACAGAGGAGCCAGGAGGGCCACAGUCCAUGGGGUCGCAAAUGAGUUGGACACAACUUAGCAACGAAACAAUACAAUAGUACUUAGCCUCAGCCUGUCUGUGCUACAUAAACUGUGUUUACCUUUAUAAACCCCCUAGGACUUCCCUGGUGGUCCAGCAAACCCACCUGCCAAUGCAAGGGACACGGGUUUGAUCCCUGGUCCGGGAAGAUCUCACAUGCCUUGGAGCAACUAAGCCCUUCCACCGCGACUAGUGAGUCCGCGUGGCCCAGAAUCUGAUCUCUACAACCAGAGAAACCGCUGCAAUGAGAACCCUGAGCACUGAAAUGAAGAGCAGGCCCCACUCUCUGCAAUGUUUCCUCAUAACGUCCAGGGGUGGAGGAGGAAGAAGAGGAGGUGGAGGAGAAAUCCCUUAUGGAGGAAAAAAAUAUCAAGGGAGGGAGCCAGUCUGUGGAAGUGCCUGCCUGAAGCUAGUCUGUGGAAGUUCCAGCAUCACUGUUGGUUUGACAAAUGCAGCUGCUCUGCUGUGGACUUGUGGGUGACAGACAUCAUUUCUUUUAUAAAUUGAAAAAAUUUUUUUUGCCGUUCUGUCCAGCAGACAGGAUCUCACUUCCCUGACGAGGUAUCAAAUCUGUGCCCCCUGCAUUGGAAGCAUGGAGUCUUCACCACUGGACAGCCAGUGAAGUCCCAGACAUCAUUUCUGGCAAAAGCUGUACCCCAAGAUCUCAAGGGCUGUCUCAUGACAUGUCACCCCCAGGCUAUGUGCAGUUUAUUGGGGGCUUUUGUUCCAAAUCUCAUGUGCCAACAACUUUGAAGAGCUCCCUACCCCCUUAUGUGAAUGGGCAGUAAACUUUGUGAAUACAGA